AUUGAACGCUGGCGGCAGGCCUAACACAUGCAAGUCGAACGAGUGGCGGACGGGUGAGUAAUGUCUGGGACACUGCCUGAUAGAGGGGGAUACCUCCUGGAAACGGUUGCUAAUACCGCAUACUAUCGGAUUAACCCAGAUGGGAUUAGCUAGUAGGGUGGGUAAAGGCUCAGCGAGGCGACGAUCCCUAGCUGGUCUGAGAGGAUGACCAGACACACUGGAAUUGAGACACGGUCCAGACUCCUACGGGAGGCAGCAGUGGGGAAUAGUGCACAAUGGGGGAAAGCCUGAUGCAGCCAUGCCGAGUGUAUGAAGAAGGCCUUAGGGUUGUAAAGUACUUUCAGCGGGGAGGCGUUACCCGCAGAAGAAGCACCGGCUAACUCCGUGCCAGCAGCCGCGGUAAUAC
Molecule: ribosomal RNA, 406 nt
Filed under: uncultured bacterium
Lineage: Bacteria
Description: partial 16S ribosomal RNA
Rfam family: Bacterial small subunit ribosomal RNA
Source: RNAcentral